CCUACGGGCGGCAGCAGUGAGGAAUAUUGGUCAAUGGGCGGAAGCCUGAACCAGCCAAGUAGCGUGCGGGAUGAAGGUCCUAUGGGUUGUAAACCGCUUUUGCCCGGGGACAACACACUCCACUCGUGGAGUUCCGCACGUACCGUGCGAAUAAGGGCCGGCUAACUCCGUGCCAGCAGCCGCGGUAAUACGGAAGGCCCGAGCGUUAUCCGGCUUCAUUGGGCUUAAAGGGAGCGCAGGCGGGCGUUCAAGUCAGCGGUAAAAUCGCGCGGCUCAACCGCGCCCCGCCGUUGAAACUGGACGCCUUGAGUGCACAACAGGCAGGCGGAAUUCGUGGUGUAGCGGUGAAAUGCAUAGAUAUCACGAAGAACCCCGAUUGCGAAGGCAGCCUGCCGGGGUGCGACUGACGCUGAGGCUCGAAGGUGCGGGUAUCAAACAGGAUUAGAUACCCUGGUAGUC
This 459-nucleotide ribosomal RNA is filed under the name uncultured bacterium. Its description in RNAcentral is "partial 16S ribosomal RNA". It matches the Rfam family "Bacterial small subunit ribosomal RNA", at positions 338 to 795 of the family's 1533-position model. The record is from RNAcentral.